This 145-nucleotide ribosomal RNA is filed under the name Amanita sp. 'kryorhodon'. RNAcentral's name for it is "partial 28S ribosomal RNA". It matches the Rfam family "Eukaryotic large subunit ribosomal RNA", at positions 1 to 144 of the family's 3401-position model. The record is from RNAcentral. Lineage: Eukaryota; Fungi; Basidiomycota; Agaricomycetes; Agaricales; Amanitaceae. RNAcentral also lists the same sequence under 1 other name.
UUGACCUCAAAUCAGGUAGGACUACCCGCUGAACUUAAGCAUAUCAAUAAGCGGAGGAAAAGAAACUAACAAGGAUUCCCCUAGUAACUGCGAGUGAAGCGGGAAAAGCUCAAAUUUGAAAUCUGGCAGUCUUUUUUUUCUUCUU